AGAAAGCGUAAUAGCUCACUGGUCGAGUCGGCCUGCGCGGAAGAUGUAACGGGGCUAAACCAUGCACCGAAGCUGCGGCAGCGACACUAUGUGUUGUUGGGUAGGGGAGCGUUCUGUAAGCCGUCGAAGGUGUGUCGUGAGGCAUGCUGGAGGUAUCAGAAGUGCGAAUGCUGACAUAAGUAACGAUAAAGCGGGUGAAAAGCCCGCUCGCCGGAAGACCAAGGGUUCCUGUUCAACGUUAAUCGGAGCAGGGUGAGUCGACCCCUAAGGCGAGGCCGAAAGGCGUAGUCGAUGGGAAACAGGUUAAUAUUCCUGUACUCGGUGUUACUGCGAAGGGGGGACGGAGAAGGCUAUAUCAGCCGGGCGACGGUUGUCCCGGUUUAAGCGUGUAGGCGGAGGGUCCAGGUAAAUCCGGACUCUUUUAACGCUGAGGCGUGACGACGAGGCACUACGGUGCUGAAGUGAUAAAUGCCCUGCUUCCAGGAAAAGCCUCUAAGCAUCAGGUAACACAGAAUCGUACCCCAAACCGACACAGGUGGUCAGGUAGAGAAUACCAAGGCGCUUGAGAGAACUCGGGUGAAGGAACUAGGCAAAAUGGUGCCGUAACUUCGGGAGAAGGCACGCUGGCGCGUAGGUGAAGGGACUUGCUCCCGGAGCUGAAGCCAGUCGAAGAUACCAGCUGGCUGCAACUGUUUAUUAAAAACACAGCACUGUGCAAACACGAAAGUGGACGUAUACGGUGUGACGCCUGCCCGGUGCCGGAAGGUUAAUUGAUGGGGUUAUCCGCAAGGAGAAGCUCUUGAUCGAAGCCCCGGUAAACGGCGGCCGUAACUAUAACGGUCCUAAGGUAGCGAAAUUCCUUGUCGGGUAAGUUCCGACCUGCACGAAUGGCGUAAUGAUGGCCAGGCUGUCUCCACCCGAGACUCAGUGAAAUUGAACUCGCUGUGAAGAUGCAGUGUACCCGCGGCAAGACGGAAAGACCCCGUGAACCUUUACUACAGCUUGACACUGAACAUUGAGCCUUGAUGUGUAGGAUAGGUGGGAGGCUUUGAAGCGCGGACGCCAGUCUGCGUGGAGCCAUCCUUGAAAUACCACCCUUUAAUGUUUGAUGUUCUAACGUGGCCCCGUGAUCCGGGGUGCGGACAGUGUCUGGUGGGUAGUUUGACUGGGGCGGUCUCCUCCCAAAGAGUAACGGAGGAGCACGAAGGUCAGCUAAUCACGGUCGGACAUCGUGAGGUUAGUGCAAUGGCAUAAGCUGGCUUGACUGCGAGAGUGACGGCUCGAGCAGGUGCGAAAGCAGGUCAUAGUGAUCCGGUGGUUCUGAAUGGAAGGGCCAUCGCUCAACGGAUAAAAGGUACUCCGGGGAUAACAGGCUGAUACCGCCCAAGAGUUCAUAUCGACGGCGGUGUUUGGCACCUCGAUGUCGGCUCAUCACAUCCUGGGGCUGAAGUAGGUCCCAAGGGUACGGCUGUUCGCCGUUUAAAGUGGUACGCGAGCUGGGUUUAGAACGUCGUGAGACAGUUCGGUCCCUAUCUGCCGUGGGCGCUGGAGAAUUGAGGGGGGUUGCUCCUAGUACGAGAGGACCGGAGUGAACGCACCACUGGUGUUCGGGUUGUCAUGCCAAUGGCACUGCCCGGUAGCUAAGUGCGGAAAAGAUAAGUGCUGAAAGCAUCUAAGCACGAAACUUGCCCCGAGAUGAGUUCUCCCUGACCCCUUGAGGGUCCUGAAGGGACGUUGAAGACGACGACGUUGAUAGGCCGGGUGUGUAAGCGCAGCGAUGCGUUGAGCUAACCGGUACUAAUGACCCGUGAGGCUUAACCUUACAACGCCAGAGGCGUUU
RNAcentral lists this ribosomal RNA (1840 nucleotides) under Pantoea anthophila. Its description in RNAcentral is "partial 23S ribosomal RNA". It matches the Rfam family "Bacterial large subunit ribosomal RNA", at positions 1127 to 2925 of the family's 2925-position model. Lineage: Bacteria; Pseudomonadati; Pseudomonadota; Gammaproteobacteria; Enterobacterales; Erwiniaceae. The record is from RNAcentral.